This 234-nucleotide long non-coding RNA is filed under the name Vigna radiata. RNAcentral's name for it is "long non-coding RNA (VRAD_LNC004950)". Lineage: Eukaryota; Viridiplantae; Streptophyta; Magnoliopsida; Fabales; Fabaceae. The record is from RNAcentral.
UGGCAGGUGGUGUUCAAGGGAGGCGACCCCAGCCCUAGCGAGAGAGAGAGACUUGGAGUCUCUGAGCUGUUGGAGUGCUGAAUGAGGGAAGGAAAUCCGAACCCCUUUAGGUUUCUAGGUCAAGAAACAACCUUGGGCUAGGGUGCCUGGGUUGGCAAAUGUUUUCUGCCACACCCCCUUUGCUUCCAUUCGCAACCCCCUUCUCUUUGGGCCUAAACCCAUUCUGGCAACCAA